GGUUAAGCGACUAAGCGUACACGGUGGAUGCCCUGGCAGUCAGAGGCGAUGAAGGACGUGCUAAUCUGCGAAAAGCGUCGGUAAGGUGAUAUGAACCGUUACAGCCGGCGAUGUCCGAAUGGGGAAACCCAGUGCAAUUCGUUGCACUAUCGUUUGAUGAAUACAUAGUCAAACGAGGCGAACCGGGGGAACUGAAACAUCUAAGUACCCCGAGGAAAAGAAAUCAACCGAGAUUCCCCCAGUAGCGGCGAGCGAACGGGGAGCAGCCCGGAGUCUGAAUCAGCUUGUGUGUUAGUGGAAGCGUCUGGAAAGUCGCAGGGUACAGGGUGAUACUCCCGUACACUAAAACACACAGGCUGUGAACUCGAAGAGUAGGGCGGGACACGUGGUAUCCUGUCUGAAUAUGGGGGGACCAUCCUCCAAGGCUAAAUACUCCUGACUGACCGAUAGUGAACCAGUACCGUGAGGGAAAGGCGAAAAGAACCCCGGCGAGGGGAGUGAAAAAGAACCUGAAACCGUGUACGUACAAGCAGUAGGAGCCCACUUGUUGGGUGACUGCGUACCUUUUGUAUAAUGGGUCAGCGACUUAUAUUCUGUAGCAAGGUUAACCGUAUAGGGGAGCCGCAGGGAAACCGAGUCUUAACUGGGCGUUAAGUUGCAGGGUAUAGACCCGAAACCCGGUGAUCUAGCCAUGGGCAGGUUGAAGGUUGGGUAACACUAACUGGAGGACCGAACCGACUAAUGUUGAAAAAUUAGCGGAUGACUUGUGGCUGGGGGUGAAAGGCCAAUCAAACCGGGAGAUAGCUGGUUCUCCCCGAAAGCUAUUUAGGUAGCGCCUCGUGAAUUCAUCUUCGGGGGUAGAGCACUGUUUCGGCUAGGGGGUCAUCCCGACUUACCAACCCGAUGCAAACUACGAAUACCGAAGAAUGUUAUCACGGGAGACACACGGCGGGUGCUAACGUCCGUCGUGAAGAGGGAAACAACCCAGACCGCCAGCUAAGGUCCCAAAGUCAUGGUUAAGUGGGAAACGAUGUGGGAAGGCCCAGACAGCCAGGAUGUUGGCUUAGAAGCAGCCAUCAUUUAAAGAAAGCGUAAUAGCUCACUGGUCGAGUCGGCCUGCGCGGAAGAUGUAACGGGGCUAAACCAUGCACCGAAGCUGCGGCAGCGACACUAUGUGUUGUUGGGUAGGGGAGCGUUCUGUAAGCCGUUGAAGGUGGCCUGUGAGGGUUGCUGGAGGUAUCAGAAGUGCGAAUGCUGACAUAAGUAACGAUAAUGCGGGUGAAAAACCCGCACGCCGGAAGACCAAGGGUUCCUGUCCAACGUUAAUCGGGGCAGGGUGAGUCGACCCCUAAGGCGAGGCCGAAAGGCGUAGUCGAUGGGAAACAGGUUAAUAUUCCUGUACUUGGUGUUACUGCGAAGGGGGGACGGAGAAGGCUAUGUUGGCCGGGCGACGGUUGUCCCGGUUUAAGCGUGUAGGUGUGUGUUCCAGGUAAAUCCGGUUCACUUUAACACUGAGGCGUGAUGACGAGGCACUACGGUGCUGAAGUGACAAAUGCCCUGCUUCCAGGAAAAGCCUCUAAGCAUCAGGUAACAUCAAAUCGUACCCCAAACCGACACAGGUGGUCAGGUAGAGAAUACCAAGGCGCUUGAGAGAACUCGGGUGAAGGAACUAGGCAAAAUGGUGCCGUAACUUCGGGAGAAGGCACGCUGAUACGUAGGUGAAGUGGUUUACCCAUGGAGCUGAAAUCAGUCGAAGAUACCAGCUGGCUGCAACUGUUUAUUAAAAACACAGCACUGUGCAAACACGAAAGUGGACGUAUACGGUGUGACGCCUGCCCGGUGCCGGAAGGUUAAUUGAUGGGGUUAUCCGUAAGGAGAAGCUCUUGAUCGAAGCCCCGGUAAACGGCGGCCGUAACUAUAACGGUCCUAAGGUAGCGAAAUUCCUUGUCGGGUAAGUUCCGACCUGCACGAAUGGCGUAAUGAUGGCCAGGCUGUCUCCACCCGAGACUCAGUGAAAUUGAACUCGCUGUGAAGAUGCAGUGUACCCGCGGCAAGACGGAAAGACCCCGUGAACCUUUACUAUAGCUUGACACUGAACACUGGUCCUUGAUGUGUAGGAUAGGUGGGAGGCUUUGAAGUGUGGACGCCAGUCUGCAUGGAGCCAUCCUUGAAAUACCACCCUUUAAUGGCUGGUGUUCUAACGUGGGCCCGUAAUCCGGGUUGCGGACAGUGUCUGGUGGGUAGUUUGACUGGGGCGGUCUCCUCCUAAAGAGUAACGGAGGAGCACGAAGGUCAGCUAAUCCUGGUCGGACAUCAGGAGGUUAGUGCAAUGGCAUAAGCUGGCUUGACUGCGAGCGUGACGGCGCGAGCAGGUGCGAAAGCAGGUCAUAGUGAUCCGGUGGUUCUGAAUGGAAGGGCCAUCGCUCAACGGAUAAAAGGUACUCCGGGGAUAACAGGCUGAUACCGCCCAAGAGUUCAUAUCGACGGCGGUGUUUGGCACCUCGAUGUCGGCUCAUCACAUCCUGGGGCUGAAGUAGGUCCCAAGGGUAUGGCUGUUCGCCAUUUAAAGUGGUACGCGAGCUGGGUUUAGAACGUCGUGAGACAGUUCGGUCCCUAUCUGCCGUGGGCGCUGGAGAAUUGAGGGGGGCUGCUCCUAGUACGAGAGGACCGGAGUGGACGCAUCACUGGUGUUCGGGUUGUCAUGCCAAUGGCAUUGCCCGGUAGCUAAAUGCGGAAGAGAUAAGUGCUGAAAGCAUCUAAGUACGAAACUUGCCCCGAGAUGAGUUCUCCCUGACUCCUUGAGAGUCCUGAAGGAACGUUGAAGACGACGACGUUGAUAGGCCGGGUGUGUAAGCGCAGCGAUGCGUUGAGCUAACCGGUACUAAUGAACCGUGAGGCUUAACCUU
RNAcentral lists this ribosomal RNA (2906 nucleotides) under Klebsiella pasteurii. Its description in RNAcentral is "23S ribosomal RNA". It matches the Rfam family "Bacterial large subunit ribosomal RNA". Lineage: Bacteria; Pseudomonadati; Pseudomonadota; Gammaproteobacteria; Enterobacterales; Enterobacteriaceae. The record is from RNAcentral.